AGGCACACGGCGUAAGCGUGUUAAAGCACUAUACCAAAUAAAGUUAAACUCCAAUUAAGCUGUAAAAAGCCAUAAUUGCAACAAAAAUAAACAACGAAAGUAACUUUACAACCGCUGAAACACGAUAGCUAGGACUCAAACUGGGAUUAGAUACCCCACUAUGCCUAGCCUUAAACACAAAUAGUUGUGUAAACAAAACUAUUCGCCAGAGUACUACCGGCAAUAGCUUAAAACUCAAAGGACUUGGCGGUGCUUUAUACCCUUCUAGAGGAGCCUGUUCUAUAAUCGAUAAACCCCGAUAAACCUCACCAUUCCUUGCUAAUACAGUCUAUAUACCGCCAUCUUCAGCAAACCCUAAAAAGGUACAAAAGUAAGCACAAUCAUAAUACAUAAAAACGUUAGGUCAAGGUGUAACCUAUGGAACGGAAAGAAAUGGGCUACAUUUUCUAAUCUAAGAAAAUCCAACACGAAAGUUAUUAUGAAAUUAAUAACCAAAGGAGGAUUUAGCAGUAAACUAAGAAUAGAGUGCUUAGUUGAAUUAGGCCAUGAAGCACGCACACACCGCCCGUCACCCUCCUCAAGUAAGCACAAUACACUCAAAUUUAUUUACGCGUAUUAAUCAUAUGAGAGGAGACAAGUCGUA
This 643-nucleotide ribosomal RNA is filed under the name Rusa timorensis (Javan rusa). RNAcentral describes it as "partial 12S ribosomal RNA". It matches the Rfam family "Bacterial small subunit ribosomal RNA", at positions 547 to 1490 of the family's 1533-position model. The record is from RNAcentral. Lineage: Eukaryota; Metazoa; Chordata; Mammalia; Artiodactyla; Cervidae.